Molecule: ribosomal RNA, 341 nt
Filed under: Candeina nitida
Lineage: Eukaryota; Foraminifera; Rotaliida; Candeinidae
Description: SSU rRNA
Source: RNAcentral
GACAGGUAUUAUAUAAUUGCUCUUCGGAGCUUUUAUUGUUAAAUAUGCUAGUCCUUUCAUGAUUAUGUGAUAGGUGGUGCAUGGCCGUUCUUAGUUCGUGGAGUGAUCUGUCUGCUUAAUUGCGUUUCACUAUAAGGAUCUAUAUUCUUUACAGUGUGCAGUGCAUUGACCCCUUCUUCGGAAGCGUGUGUCUUUACGCUCACACUUCAUUAGGUCCUGAAAGCAACGAACGUGACCGCAACCUCUUGUUGCCUCUGUGCUCCUACACGCUCAAUGCGCUAAACACUGGUUUUCUAGCUUAGUGCGUUGGUUGAGGCUUUCUUAAACUAGAGGGACCGCUG